RNAcentral lists this ribosomal RNA (305 nucleotides) under uncultured bacterium. RNAcentral's name for it is "bacterial SSU rRNA". It matches the Rfam family "Bacterial small subunit ribosomal RNA", at positions 334 to 638 of the family's 1533-position model. The record is from RNAcentral.
UUGGCCUACGGGAGGCAGCAGUGGGGAAUAUUGCACAAUGGGGGAAACCCUGAUGCAGCGACGCCGCGUGAGUGAAGAAGUAUUUCGGUAUGUAAAGCUCUAUCAGCAGGGAAGAAAUACUGACCUUACGGUCAGCAGACGGUACCUGACUAAGAAGCCCCGGCUAACUACGUGCCAGCAGCCGCGGUAAUACGUAGGGAGCAAGCGUUAUCCGGAUUUACUGGGUGUAAAGGGCGUGUAGGCGGGCAUGCAAGCCAGAAGUGAAAUCUGGGGGCUUAACCCCCAAACUGCUUUUGGAACUGCGG